CCUUGACAUACUAAGAACUUUCCAGAGAUGGAUUGGUGCCUUCGGGAACUUAGAUACAGGUGCUGCAUGGCUGUCGUCAGCUCGUGUCGUGAGAUGUUGGGUUAAGUCCCGCAACGAGCGCAACCCUUUUUCCUUAUUUGCCAGCGGGUCAUGCCGGGAACUUUAAGGAUACUGCCAGUGACAAACUGGAGGAAGGCGGGGACGACGUCAAGUCAUCAUGGCCCUUACGGCCAGGGCUACACACGUGCUACAAUGGUCGGUACAAAGGGUUGCUACCUCGCGAGAGGAUGCUAAUCUCAAAAAGCCGAUCGUAGUCCGGAUCGCAGUCUGCAACUCGACUGCGUGAAGUCGGAAUCGCUAGUAAUCGCGGAUCAGAAUGCCGCGGUGAAUACGUUCCCGGGCCUUGUACACACCGCCCGUCACACCAUGGGAGUUUGUUGCACCAGAAGUAGGUAGUCUAACCGCAAGGAGGACGCUUACCACGGUGUGGCCGAUGACUGGGGUGAAGUCGUAACAAGGUAAGCGUAGAUGA
RNAcentral lists this ribosomal RNA (532 nucleotides) under uncultured bacterium. Its description in RNAcentral is "bacterial SSU rRNA". It matches the Rfam family "Bacterial small subunit ribosomal RNA", at positions 979 to 1509 of the family's 1533-position model. The record is from RNAcentral.